Molecule: ribosomal RNA, 253 nt
Filed under: uncultured bacterium
Lineage: Bacteria
Description: partial 16S ribosomal RNA
Rfam family: Bacterial small subunit ribosomal RNA
Source: RNAcentral
UACGAAGGGGGCUAGCGUUGCUCGGAAUCACUGGGCGUAAAGCGCACGUAGGCGGAUCUUUAAGUCAGGGGUGAAAUCCCAAGGCUCAACCUUGGAACUGCCUUUGAUACUGGGGAUCUCGAGUCCGGAAGAGGUGAGUGGAACUGCGAGUGUAGAGGUGAAAUUCGUAGAUAUUCGCAAGAACACCAGUGGCGAAGGCGGCUCACUGGUCCGGUACUGACGCUGAGGUGCGAAAGCCAGGGGAGCGAACGGG